GGUCUGCACGUGAUUUCGCGUACAGUUUUAGAAAUGCUACACAAUACUUGAGAAAGGGCGAGUAUUAUGAGAAUAUGAGUAUAUCAAUAUGCAAUAGUAGUUUUUAUCCGAUUGAUAUUCUGAUCAAUACUUAGCCUAAUAAAUAAUUUAUUUGUCUUUUAUCCAUAGCUCUGUAGCGAAGCACGAGCAUUUUGCUAGUAUAUAUAAAAAAACAGAGUAAAGAAAUCGUAAGCAUAUCAUUGACAUAAAUUAAAUAUAUAAUUUUGGGGGCCCUAAUUAUAUUUUUAAGGAUCUUGUACGGUGGCACAUCUUAAACGUAGGGACAGUCCUCUGUACGAAAACAAGGCUAAAUUAAAUACGCGCGCGAACCGGGACUCCUCUCUCAAAUCCCGCUAAAACUACUAUCAAAUUGUUGCAGAUCGAGGAUGGUUUGAACUAUGGACUUCCUUACAGAGAUGGAAAAAAUUUGUGUGCUCCGCAUAUAUACACUAAUACACACAUCGAUCAACAUCAAGUGGCGCACGUACGUAGCUAGCCUUCCAAAGACCAUGCAAACUUCUCCACUCAGGCUCCACCCCUCCACUCGGGCAUGGGUCGCAUGCAGUUGCCGUCACGAGGCUAGCUGCACGCGCCUUCGACGACACAACGUACGGGUAUUUCUUUUUCCGUGUAGUGUCUCCUCGAGAAACGUAGAGGCAGCCGUCCACGCGUUUAAUUAGAACGGAGUCAAACACUAGUUAGACCUGUACUCCAUGCGGUACACUGCAUGCACGCUGUCCGAUUACGUGUUCCACGGAUCGGAUCCGUUGUUCUCUUGAACCGCGGAUAAAACAAUGGUGCGAGCACCGCAUUUCUGCAGUGAAGAAACCCCCUUUUCCUCUGCAUGCAGUCAAGAGAUGAUCCGGGCUACUAGCUUUUUUCUCAGAUAUUGUUACAUGCACGUUACAUGCCUUCAACCACAGCCUCGUAGUACAAUGUUGCUUCACUCUUGUUUACGAUAGUACACCGCUAAGGAUCAGGGUGUCUGGAAAAACAAAGAAAAUAUCUUACAGCGUUUCUUUACGAUGAAAGCAAGAAUGAAAUGAUGAAUAGUGAAUGAUUUCUGAUAAUUAUUCGAAAGUAAUUUAUACUAUAUAUGAAGUUCUUUCUUUAGAAAAACACCAUUUAGAAACUGGGGAGGCAUUUGCCACUAUACCAUUCUCAUAUAAUGAAUAGGCACUACUAAAAUACCUACUUAGGUGCCUGUUGGAAACCCCACAUGGAUACCGGAUUCCCCGACCGGCACCGAUGAGGUGCAUGGUUUGAAAAAAAAAAACUGGAUUAGCUUGAUUUGAACAAAUGCUUCGAGCCCAAAUAUUUCCCAAAUUUUUCUUCAUCAAACACAUUAUUAUUAUCAACAUCACAAAUCACAAAAUGAAUCAUAAAUUUUUGGCAUAAUGCAAUAAUACUCAAAUUAGAAUACAUCUGCUACCCAAUACCUAACUAUCCAUUGCAGCAUCAAAGGGAAAAACAACAUCCCCAAAUCCUUAACAGAUAAGAGAACCGAAUAAACUAAAGAUCCCCAAAUCCUCAAGAUCAGCCGUCGCUUGUUGUUGGUUGUUGCCUCCAUCAUCGUGGUCCCAUCCGCUAUAGUCCGGAUCUAGCCUUAAUUAAGCUUGCAUCAGCGCUCGACUGGGAGAAGGAGACGGGGAGCUUGUGGCAGCAGAUUUCCCUGCCCUCGAGCUUGUGGCGACGGAUCAGCUGGCAUGAGGAAGUGAGGAGGAGGAGGCGAUGCUGACUGCGGAUGCGAGAAGUGGUUGUAGUGGUGGAUGCGAGGAGUGGUUUGAGGCGGCAGUGGAUGCGAUGAGGAGGGAGGACGCGUCCGGGACGACGCUAUGUGAGGUAGAGAGACGAGGCGGAUUAUGUGAUCGAGUCACGCGUGGAUGCAAUCGAGUCUCGUGUUAAAAAAGUAGGGCAGCUGGCUGUCUGGUGGGCUCGACUCCCUCUAAGAGAUCGAUUUUUUAAUAAAUCGACACCAAUGUCCUACAUAUGAGUGAGCUUUUUUGUCACGCCUCGAACUAGUCUCGACCGGAACUAGCCCGUGACGCUCCAAAUUAACCUGUUAAUCGAUACCAGUCCCAGGAAACAGUGCUGGUAUCACAGAGAGACAGAGUAUCACAGCAACAGAGGUCUCUUUAUUAUAGAGUAGAAGUACAGUCAUGUUGGGCUGCGGACAGAUCCCGAGCUCACAACUGCAUUACAAAAGGAAAGCGGAAGCCAGGACUUGGACCAAUCAUCACAGGCGCGACUUGGGAACUAGGCCGAAACCCUAAAACUCAUCGUAGCCGACUUGCUCCUGGAAGAACUCCUCGUCAGCAGGAUCCACUUCAUCUUCUUCAGCAACUGGGGGGGAUUAUUUAUAUAGAGCAAGGGUGAGUACGGGAGUACUCAGCAAGCCAGGGGAAAUAAGUGUUUAAUGCAGGCUUCAAGGAAAGGCUGUUGUUUUCGCAAUUUAUUUUAUUUGAACUCUUUUUCUAAAACAACUAGGUGAGUGCUUCUCAAACGACACGGAUGAGACAGUGCGUCUCGUCCGGUCGGAGUAUGUGCAAUGUAUCAGUCUUUAGAAUUGAAACAAGGUUGGCACCCGGCCAACAGCUUUUCAAACGGCCACCCGGGCCAACAACUUUUCAAACGGCCAUCCGGGCCUAGCUGAUCCCGUCAGCUGCUGAUUUUUCAAACAUCGAACCAAUUUUCACAACAGCAAUUUCACAAGCAGUAGUCAAACAAAACUACGCUAGGAAUCACCUCACAUCCACCCAUGACCGUGGGCACGGCUGUUCGAACAGUUUGUUAACCUCUGCAGAGGGGGUACACUUUACCCACACGACAUUACUAACCCGGAUCACCCAGCCCGUGGGGAUCAGCCACGUCGGGAGACCUCCAAGCUUUCAUGACAAGGCAUUUCGAAAGCCGACACAGGUUUACCAUAUGCCGACAAGAGGGGUCCUAGACCAACAACAGGUUAGGUCCCAGACCUUACUGUGCCAGGAAGCCCAGGGGUCCUCCCCGAUACCACCCCGGUGAAUCCACAUGUCUCUCGGCAUCAAGGCUCCCCUGAUAAGCUAGUUACUCAGCCAGGGGUGUCCCAUUCCACCCAUGUGGUCGUACUUGUCUUAUGUUCGGAUGAAAUUCUAAGGAAACGGUCCUUAAGUGCAAGAGCGGGGAAAACUGUACACCCGGUACGUUCCCCGGUCCGCGGUUUUGGAAAUUCAUUUAGUUCGCAAGCACCGACCCAGGUGUCGGGUUUUCCAAGUCUUUUGUAAAACUCCAGUUUUACCCAAGUGGUUACUCAGAUUUUAAGUUUGAAGGCGACCGUCGAUACUCGCACAGAGUGCACGAAUAUCGAGGCGCAACUGGGUGGUUACAAGGGGACAUGGUAUAGCAAUUAACAAUGGAAGGAUCAAAUGCAACAAGUCAGGUAGGUCCGCCAAUCUGCCUUGCAGAUGGGACAAAAGAUUAAGUGCGAUCCUAUCAAUGCAUAAUAUUUUGCAAGCAAUAUAAUUAAAUUUCAAAUAUAGGCUCAAGAUGUUCAAAGGUGGCUUGCCUUGCUCGAGAUCUGGAGCUUGAUCCUCGAAAUCCUCGCACUGCGGGUCUUCGGGCUCUGAAACUAUACGCGAAACGGAACAACUCAACAAACGACGAAAAUAAAGCCCUAUUAAUGACCUCUAAGCGCGCCAUUAGAUAGAUCUCGAGAUUUGGGGAAUUUUGGAAGUUGAACGGAGUCAAACGGAUUUACGGUUGGGAAGAUAUUGAAUUUCUACGAUCAUUGAAUUUUUGAUCUAAAGGAAAAGGAUUUAAUUAAAUUCUUUUUGGAAAAGAAAAAGAAAAGAAGGGAGGGAGGGAAUAUAGACUUUUCUCGGACGGCUAAGGCGCGGCCCAAGAGAAAUGGAGCGGUCCGGCCGAGCUAAAUGGGCCGGCCGGCCCAAGGCGGCCCAAACUCGCGCGCGCGCGGAAGGGAGGAGAGAGAGAGCCGGUGGACCGGGCUCACCACGCGCGGUCCCGGGUGGGACCCGCUUGUCAGCGGCUCGGCUCACCGUGCGGAGGGAGUACGUGGCUUAUGCGCGCGGGCGGGGGAGGGACGCGGUGCACGCGCGCGGCUCGCGGUGGACGCGGAUGCGGCGGGCCCACGCGCAGCCUCCCGGCUCGCGGUGGAACGCGCGCACGGGGAGGGACUGACCGGGGUCGGCUCGACCCGGUCUAGGCUGAGCUGGCGCCGACGUGGCGCCUACGUGGCGGCCACGUGGGCUGGCGGGAGGUAGACGACGACCCAGCCGCGAAUGGACGACGGGCGGCGGCGGCGAGCGGCGGAGCGAACCACGGUGAUACGGGCAAAAGCGAGCACACCGGGUGGUUGCACGUGAUGAGGGAAGACGAGCCAACGGCUCGGAUUCGCCGGAGGGAGCUUGACGGCGGCGAAUCGCGGCGGCGACAACCGGCGGGGAGGGAAGAGGGAAACGGCGGCGAGGCCACGAGGGGUCGAUUCCCGGCGGUGAGAGCAUCUACGCGGCUUCGGGAACUCGACGCUAGCGUCGGAUUGGGCGGAACUACGCCGAGCGAGGCCGGCGACAAGCGGGUGCUACGGAGCUCGGGCGGCGACGGCGGCGAGCACACGGCGAGCGACGGCAACGGUCGGGGCGGCGUCGGCUAACUACGGGGAGUCUACUCAAGCUACUACCGAAAGCUAGGGGGAGGAGAUGGAGCGAGGAGGAAGAACGGAGGGAGGCACUACCGUGAUGAGGAGGGGCGCUGUGACGAGAGGCCGGCGGCGCGGGAGUAAUCUCUCCGGCCUCGGGCCGGGGAAGAGGAAGGAGAGGGCGCGGCCGAAGUCCCCUUCCGCGUCCUCGAACGCACCGGCUCUCCCGGCGCUUGGCGAAGGACGGCGGAGGCGAGACAGAGCACGGGGGCGGCGGCAACGGUGAGGAGGCGAAUGGGAGAGGAAGGGAAAGGGGGAGGCUUGGGUUUAUAGGAUGGCAAUGUCGGUUUGGGAACCGACUUAGGGCGGUCAAGGGCGCGAGCUGGCGCUCGGCGGUCGCGGCCAAAGCGGCGACAGGGAGGAUGACGCCGGCGAGGAGGAAAAAGGGGAAAAGGAGGGGGAGAAAGGGGGCUUGCCCCUUUGCCGAUUCGGGAAAAAGGGGGAGGGGAGCGGGGGCGACGCGGCAGAGAGAGGAGGGGCGCGGCCUCCUUCCCUUGGCGGCUUGCGCGCGGAGUGGCGGGGGCCGGGCGGUGACGACGGCGAUGACGGCGGGCGGUUUGGAGCGGAGCGGCGACACUGGCGACAGGCGCGGCAGACGCUGACGACGGCGGCGACCGGGCGGUCGGCCACUCGGCGCGCGCGCGCGGGAAACAACGGGCGGCGUCCGCGCGGGCGCGCGCACGCGAACACGGCGCGCGGGAAGCGUCUUUGCGAGCGGGGAGCUCGCGCGAGGGGAGGGGCGCUCGGCGCGGGCGACUCCCGCGCACGCGCGCGCGGUGCGCGGGCGGGGCGGAGGGGGGAGCGGGGAGAGAGGCGCUCGGGGCGGCUCUCGCACGCGCGAGCAGCGUGCGG
Molecule: long non-coding RNA, 5584 nt
Filed under: Oryza sativa (Asian cultivated rice)
Lineage: Eukaryota; Viridiplantae; Streptophyta; Magnoliopsida; Poales; Poaceae
Description: long non-coding RNA (OSAT_LNC001480)
Source: RNAcentral